Molecule: ribosomal RNA, 460 nt
Filed under: uncultured bacterium
Lineage: Bacteria
Description: partial 16S ribosomal RNA
Rfam family: Bacterial small subunit ribosomal RNA
Source: RNAcentral
CCUACGGGAGGCAGCAGUGAGGAAUAUUGGUCAAUGGACGAGAGUCUGAACCAGCCAAGUAGCGUGAAGGAUGACUGCCCUAUGGGUUGUAAACUUCUUUUAUAUGGGAAUAAAAUGUUCCACGUGUGGGAUUUUGUAUGUACCAUAUGAAUAAGGAUCGGCUAACUCCGUGCCAGCAGCCGCGGUAAUACGGAGGAUCCGAGCGUUAUCCGGAUUUAUUGGGUUUAAAGGGAGCGUAUGUGGAUUGUUAAGUCAGUUGUGAAAGUUUGCGGCUCAACCGUAAAAUUGCAGUUGAAACUGGCAGUCUUGAGUACAGUAGAGGUGGGCGGAAUUCGUGGUGUAGCGGUGAAAUGCUUAGAUAUCACGAAGAACUCCGAUUGCGAAGGCAGUUCACUGGACUGCAACUGACACUGAGGCUCGAAGGCGUGGGUAUCAAACAGGAUUAGAUACCCGAGUAGUC